Melospiza melodia melodia is the source of this 1621-nucleotide long non-coding RNA. RefSeq lists it as uncharacterized. NCBI's taxonomy places the organism in Eukaryota, Metazoa, Chordata, Aves, Passeriformes, Passerellidae. The transcript is spliced from 2 exons. The record is from RefSeq and is a predicted model, not a curated record.
AGUUUACCAGGACACGUAGACCAUGCCUCUGGAAGUGAUGGGCUCAGCACUUCAUGUAAAGCUAAAACUGAUGGGAGAAGGCAGUAAGUACUGCACACCAAAGGCCACUACUCCAGUUCUCUACAGGAUUUGGUCCUUACUCUGGCCAGUACUUGCUUUCUACUAAUAUUUUUGUAGUUUUAAUUGCUGAAAUAUCCAAAUAACAAGCACUUUCAAAAAUGCUUCCUAAAUUAGACAAACUUGCUAAAUGUUAUAUAGUUGCUUUAAGUGCAGCAAGUUAUUACUCCUUAGUAAAAUAAUUCAGACAAUCAAAUGUACACAUGAGCAGAAGGAAUCUGAUUUCCCAUUAGAACAGGUGGAAAAUCUGAAGGUCUGAAGAUAAGAGUCAAGGUAGACAUAAACUGGUUUGCUCAGUUUGAAAUGGUUGCAGCAAAAGUUUCUUGCAGAAAAAGCCCAGAAUUCAGCUGGUAGCUGUUUGGACUCUUUUUGGUGUUUUUCAGUGGGGGAGGUUUCCUCUCCCAGAUUUCAAAUGCAUGCUCUUUGCUUCAGGCAUGCAUGUGCUGGUGGCACAUCUCACCUCCUGACAGCACCUGUAAGGUCAGGGCACUCAGGCUGUGGUGCCCAUGCAGAAUUUUAAUGGGGUUCUUGUUGCUGAUGUUCUGCUUGGCUGGGCUUCAUUCCUUUAUCCCCGCCAUGUCUCAGCUGGAGAGCAUGGCAGCUCCAGCAGAGGGAAGCUUUAUGGUUAGGGGAGUAAUUUAGGUUGGAUGGAACCUCUGGAAGUUGUCUGGUCAGCCCCAACACAGAGCAGGAGCCAUGCAGGUGACUUUGGCGAGGGCCAGGCAAGUUUCCAGUGUCUCCAGGAUAGAAUUCCCACAGCUUUUCUGGGCAACCUGUUCUGGCAUCUAAUUAUGACAUGCACAACAACAAUAUCAAAUUUGUUUAUACUUUCUUCUUCUUGUAUCCUUACAGAUGAGUUCUGGGAGGUAUAGUAAAAGGCUUAGCUUUAUAUACAGGUUCCAGCUAGAAAUUUUUGUUGGGAAAGAAAACCACCUAAACAGGCAAGAUCAAUUCAGGUGACAGGGUGCUGGGCUUUUCCUUUACCUGAGCCCUUGUAUAAUGAAGAAAAUAUAAUUGUGGAUGAAUUUCCUGGAGACAGAUGCAUGCUGGAGACAGAUAUGGACUGUACACAGCAAGUGUGCUGUCAGAAAAGCAUUGCCAGUUUUGGCUUUGUGCAUUUCUUGCACUCUGAUUUGCCUGAGAUGCGGUUCCAAACCCAGUCCAUGGGUGCUGCAAUGCAGCUGCCAGAAGGAGCAGGAUCUGAGGCCACGGGGGCAGAUCCAUUGGGACUCACAGUUUCCCAUCUGCACAGCAGUGAGUAUUGGGAUCAUUCCAACCACCACCAUUGCUUCUGGGAUUUUUCCCAACCAAAGGCAUUCUGGAAUGGUUUCACAUCUUGCUCUGAAAUAUGUACACAGUUAUUUCACAAUAUGUGUAUUUAAAGGAAUGCAAAUGGUUUCAAAAGACUGGUUGGCAAAAUAGCAUUUCAAGUUGUUGUGCUGUGAUAUAUAGUAACUACUGUGAGAUUUAUUUUAGAUGAAGAGAAAACACAACUACUCUGUAA